Molecule: ribosomal RNA, 301 nt
Filed under: uncultured bacterium
Lineage: Bacteria
Description: partial 16S ribosomal RNA
Rfam family: Bacterial small subunit ribosomal RNA
Source: RNAcentral
CAGCAGCCGCGGGAAUACGAAGGGUGCAAGCGUUACUCGGAAUUACUGGGCGUAAAGCGUGCGUAGGUGGUGGUUUAAGUCCGUUGUGAAAGCCCUGGGCUCAACCUGGGAAUUACAGUGGAUACUGGGUCACUAGAGUGUGGUAGAGGAUAGUGGAAUUUCCGGUGUAGCAGUGAAAUGCGUAGAGAUCGGAAGGAACAUCUGUGGCGAAGGCGACUAUCUGGGCCAACACUGACACUGAGGCACGAAAGCGUGGAGAGCAAACAGGAUUUGAUACCCGAGUAGUCCCUGUCUCUUAUAC